This 433-nucleotide ribosomal RNA is filed under the name uncultured bacterium. RNAcentral describes it as "partial 16S ribosomal RNA". It matches the Rfam family "Bacterial small subunit ribosomal RNA", at positions 29 to 507 of the family's 1533-position model. The record is from RNAcentral.
AACGAACGCUGGCGGCAUGCCUAACACAUGCAAGUCGAACGAGACCUUCGGGUCUAUUGGCGCACGGGUGCGUAACGCGUGGGAACCUGCCCUCAGGUUCGGAAUAACUCCCCGAAAGGGGUGCUAAUACCGGAUAAUGUCUUCGGACCAAAGAUAUAUCGCCUUUGGUUGGGCGGGCGUUGGAUUAGCUAGUUGGUAGGGUAAAAGCCUACCAAGGCGACGAUCCAUAGCUGGUCUGAGAGAAUGCUCAGCCACACUGGGGCUGGGACACGGCCCAGACUCCUACGGGAGGCAGCAGUGGGUAAUGUUGGACAGCGGGCGGAAGCCUGAUCGAGCAAGGCCGCGUGAGUGAUGAAGGCCUUAGGGAUGUAAAGCUCUUUUACCCGGGAUGAUAAUGACGGUACCGGGAGAAUAAGCUCCGGCUAACUCCGUG